Molecule: ribosomal RNA, 429 nt
Filed under: uncultured bacterium
Lineage: Bacteria
Description: bacterial SSU rRNA
Rfam family: Bacterial small subunit ribosomal RNA
Source: RNAcentral
UGGGGAAUUUUGGACAAUGGGCGAAAGCCUGAUCCAGCAAUGCCGCGUGAGUGAAGAAGGCCUUCGGGUUGUAAAGCUCUUUUGUCAGGGAAGAAAAAGCCUGGGCUAAUAUCCUGGGUGAAUGACGGUACCUGAAGAAUAAGCACCGGCUAACUACGUGCCAGCAGCCGCGGUAAUACGUAGGGUGCGAGCGUUAAUCGGAAUUACUGGGCGUAAAGGGUGCGCAGGCGGUUGUGCAAGACAGGCGUGAAAUCCCCGGGCUUAACCUGGGAAUUGCGCUUGUGACUGCAUAGCUAGAGUGUGUCAGAGGGGGGUAGAAUUCCACGUGUAGCAGUGAAAUGCGUAGAUAUGUGGAGGAAUACCGAUGGCGAAGGCAGCCCCCUGGGAUAACACUGACGCUCAUGCACGAAAGCGUGGGGAGCAAACAGG